Small nucleolar RNA from Alosa alosa (allis shad), 69 nucleotides. RefSeq annotates it as small nucleolar RNA SNORD58. The record is from RefSeq and is a predicted model, not a curated record. NCBI's taxonomy places the organism in Eukaryota, Metazoa, Chordata, Actinopteri, Clupeiformes, Clupeidae. The transcript has a single exon.
UUGCAAUGAUAAUCUUAGGUGACUUUUGGAUUUCAACAUGAAAAUAACCUUUGUGUAAAUCUGAGCAAC